RNAcentral lists this unclassified non-coding RNA (312 nucleotides) under plant metagenome. Its description in RNAcentral is "partial contains 5.8S ribosomal RNA, internal transcribed spacer 2, and large subunit ribosomal RNA". The stretch from base 1 to 105 matches the Rfam family "5.8S ribosomal RNA", at positions 50 to 154 of the family's 154-position model. The record is from RNAcentral.
GAAAUGCGAUAAGUAAUGUGAAUUGCAGAAUUCCGUGAAUCAUCGAAUCUUUGAACGCACAUUGCGCCCUCUGGCAUUCCGGGGAGCAUGCCUGUCCGAGCGUCAUUACGCACCCUCAAGCCCGGCUUGUGUGAUGGGCCCCGGCGUCUCGUUCGCGAGACGGGCCCGAAAGGCAGCGGCGGCGUCGACCCGAUGAGCCCGAGCGUAUGGGGACUUCUGUCACACGUUCGCGGUGCGGACCGGCGCCUGCUUGACUUUUCUGAUUAUCCAGGUUGACCUCGGAUCAGGUAGGGAUACCCGCUGAACUUAAGC